This 301-nucleotide ribosomal RNA is filed under the name uncultured bacterium. RNAcentral's name for it is "partial 16S ribosomal RNA". It matches the Rfam family "Bacterial small subunit ribosomal RNA", at positions 509 to 809 of the family's 1533-position model. The record is from RNAcentral.
CAGUCGCCACGGUAAAACAGAGGGUGCGAGCGUUAAUCGGAUUUACUGGGCGUAAAGCGUGCGUAGGCGGCUUCUUAAGUCGGAUGUGAAAUCCCUGAGCUUAACUUAGGAAUUGCAUUCGAUACUGGGAAGCUAGAGUAUGGGAGAGGAUGGUAGAAUUCCAGGUGUAGCGGUGAAAUGAGUAGAGAUCUGGAGGAAUACCGAUGGCGAAGGCAGCCAUCUGGCCUAAUACUGACGCUGAGGUACGAAAGCAUGGGGAGCAAACAGGAUUAGAUACCCCAGUAGUCCCUGUCUCUUAUAA